Molecule: unclassified non-coding RNA, 214 nt
Filed under: Hevea brasiliensis (rubber tree)
Lineage: Eukaryota; Viridiplantae; Streptophyta; Magnoliopsida; Malpighiales; Euphorbiaceae
Source: RNAcentral
GGACAAUGCAUAAAAGUUUGUUCACUCUUUAACCGAGGACGACGUCGAUGUUCGAUGGCUAAGCUGAUGGCACGCCAAUAAUUACCUUAAAAAAUCCAAACCGAGAAGAAGAAUAGCUUUUCAAAGUCACAUCAGCAACCCGAGGCUGAAAUCCAGUUCUUUCAUUGCUUUAUCUGACCCUCUCUACCUUCUGAAGAAACAAAUCCACUUCCAG